GGCGGACGGGUGAGGAAUACGUAGGAAUCUGCCCCUUAAGUGGGGGAUAACCCGGGGAAACCCGGAUUAAUACCGCAUGAUCUCGAAAGAGCAAAGCAGGGGACCGCAAGGCCUUGCGCUUUUGGAGGAGCCUACGUCGGAUUAGCUAGUUGGUGAGGUAACGGCUCACCAAGGCGACGAUCCGUAACUGGUCUGAGAGGAUGAUCAGUCACACCGGAACUGAGACACGGUCCGGACUCCUACGGGAGGCAGCAGUGGGGAAUAUUGGACAAUGGGCGAAAGCCUGAUCCAGCAAUGCCGCGUGUGUGAAGAAGGCCUUCGGGUUGUAAAGCACUUUAAGUUGGGAAGAAAAAGCUUCACCUAAUACGGGAGCCUUGACGGUACCGCAGAAUAAGCACCGGCUAA
This 405-nucleotide ribosomal RNA is filed under the name uncultured bacterium. RNAcentral's name for it is "bacterial SSU rRNA". It matches the Rfam family "Bacterial small subunit ribosomal RNA", at positions 97 to 500 of the family's 1533-position model. The record is from RNAcentral.